CAUGAGAGUGCAUAUAAUUCAGUUGUGCUGACUUGCUGUUUCUAAAAUGAUAAGCUGGAGCUGGAGUUACAUAUGAGAGUACAGAUAAUUAAGUUGUGCUCCUGACUUGAUUAACAAAAGCUGCAGAAGAAAGGGACAAAAUACCAAAAAGCUGAAAAUUUGAAGAAAGGUGGAAGUAGGGAACUACCCAACUUGAUUCAAGAUUACGAAGGGAAAAAGGGCAUUGAUUGAGCAGGAGAAAACAAUAAUGGGCCGAGGCAAGGAUAUAGUGCUCAGUUAGUAAAGAGAUAUGUGGGAAGUGGAGCAGCGGGAUGCAAAUGGAAUUUUUGUGACUCACUGAAGGUGAGCAAAACUUCAGAAAAGAAAUUGCAACAGAAGUAGAGCCUCAUCACCAAGAGAACAUAGGGAUUUUAAGUUUUUUGUAGCCUGCACCGGAGACUGUAGAGUUAAGUUUCUACAUCUCAGUGUACAAUUUAACUAUAUCAGGUUAUUUACUAUGUAGUAAAUAUUUGCUUUUGCCAUUGCUGAUCAUGUCCUUCUCUCUGUGCUUGGAAGCAUAAACUUACUUAGCGAUCCUUUUUUGUUAGGCUAAACUUACAUCCUUCUGCUAAUAGUUUAGUGAUCUAAUGAUUAUAAUGAUUAUUCAAAAGGGACAUUGCAUGUUCCUAGAUGCAUAGCCUUUCUUAUAUAUGUUUUCAUAACACUGGAUUUUUUUAGGGAUAACACUAGGAUUUUAGUUUUUUUGUUGAAUUCUGAAACUGAAAUCCGAAUAAACCAUAUCUUGAAAGGCCAGCAUAAUGGCACUUCAAAUAAAUGCUAAUCUACACUCACACUGCAGGCUGGUGCCCGUUCUUCUGGUGAUUUGGUCAAAGCUACUACUAAGCAAAGAUAUUUUGCAUGCUAUAAGAACAUGUAGGUUCAUAUCGGGCACCCAUACGAUCCUGCUAAGAAUUUUGAAUUACUUAGAUAUAUUAGCAACAACAUCGUUUAAAAUCCAAAUGAAUGGCAUACUCCCUGUUAAUUCAAAUGCAGAUACAAACUUUAAGCUUUUCUAAAUAAGGAAAUAUAUUUACAGUCCAAGUGUAGUAAUCUGGGAGUUUGAAAUUAUUUCCCCUUUUUAAAAAGCCAGAGACAUUGAAGUUAAUAUUCACAUACAUGGCAGGGAAGGAUUGAUCUCUCUGCUUAGCAAUGAAUUUGUAGCACCCGAUGAAAACAAAUAUUGUGCAGACCCUAUGGCGUCAUUGUGUUAGUAGGCCGUAUUGGCGUUGCAAUCUCCUCUUGGACUAACUAAUGCAUAGGUUAUAAAGCACAUCAAACCUUUUGUAGACCAACAAAUCCAACAUGCUAUGUAGAUCUUGUGUGUACGGAUUAAUCUGAUUGAUGACUGAUGGAAAGCUUCAGGACUUGUAUUCCCCCCUCACCCCAUAUCUGUAGUUUCCUAUGAGUCACUUUCAAAUCUGGAUAUUCUCCUAUAUAUUAACUACUGCAUUGGAGGAAAUUAAGUCACUUGCAAUCUACAAUUAAAGAAUAAUUAAGUGGGACCUUGAGAAACAAUAGUUUGCCAUGGUCUGCAAUGGGGCAGAGCCAAAGAGUUUGACCAGAAUAAAAGUCUGGACAACAAAAUUCAAUGGAGAGAGAUAUCCAUCUGUUACCCACAAAUGAUUAUUUUUUUGUUAGUGCCUCUUCUUCUUUCUUGCCCAUUAUUUAGUUAUAACGUGACAAAAUAAACAUGUUGAUUAUACCCGACUUGCACUGAACAUGAAAUUUUUGUUUAUGCACAAACAUGCGAGUUGUGUAGUACUGUAGGUUGACACUGCAUCGAAACAUAACACACAAUUACAUGUGCGUGUAUGAGGAGAAACUAUACCUGCAGCACACAUCCAUCUAUCUCGGUUUAUGGUGAACUGGCAAAUUUAUGGUAAUGAAGCAUGUAGCUGAGGUGUGAGACAAAUCUUCCGUAGAGUGUUAAUGUUGUUAGUAGUAAUUAACUUGUCUCCUAGGAGCUAACUGCAGCAACUUACCUUGAUUGUUAGAUACAGUAUAGCAUUAUUCAUCUUCAUCCAUGAUUGAUUCUUCUGUUUGCUGCAAUUCUUUGACAAUUCUUAGCAUCACACAACCAAAGGUGAGAAGCAAAAAUUUGAAGCACGGAACAAAAAAUUCACAAACCAAUGCAUUUAGUAACCAUCGUGGUUCUUACAGGUCCUUUCCUUUGCAAUCCAAAUUCCAGUUCUAUGACUUGAAAGGAAGGAUGAAGUCCAUGUCAUGAAAAUUUUAAUAUGUGGUCGCUGCCUCCUCCAGCCAUGGAUUUCAAAGGUACGCAGAUUCACCUACAACAUGCAUAUGGGAGAACUUGCAGAUCUGAAGGAAUCAAGCAUCUAGCUAAGGUGCUUGUAGCCACGAUCAGUGCUCCAUCGAGCAAUUUCUUAGGGCUGCACAGAUGCAACAACCUGGUAGAUAGGAUCAUCCUCUAUCAAAAAUAGCCAAAGGAAGAUGUCAACAUCAGAGAUCCCAUAUAGGCCAGGAUAAUGUCAAAAUAUCUUGGCAUGGGCACGUGGCUCAUAGCCUGAACUUGACACCGUUUACUCCAUGCUCGUGGUGGAGGCCUAGUCUCGACGGGGGCAUGGCAGUGGCGUGCGUUAGGAUUGGAUUCCGUCGAAGACCUAUGAUUGAUUUUCUAGCUGAGGCUGCGUGCGUGAGGGCUGGAGAGUCGGUUGUAGCCACGGGAUUCUGGCGGCGGCAGCGUGCGUGAAGGCAGGGGAGUCUGUAGCCCUAUUAUGUUUUUCUUCUUUCAACGAUGGACUCAGGUAAUGGCAUGACCCUGUAUAUUUUAUCUUCUUUUCAUCAUGGAGUCAAGGUUUCUAAAAAAAUUAUGGCAUUGCUGAAUCGUAGAGGCAGGUGAAAGCUAUUUUGACGCAUCAUAUGCUUUAGUAGGAGUUAUCUCUACCUCUCUAUCUCUACCUAAUCUCUACCUAAUAAUAAUAAAGCAAAUUGGGUUUCUGCUUGUCCGUCAUUAGCAUUUUUUCUAAAAAGGCCCUCCCUUUUUUAGUAUUUAACCCGCAGUAUAAUUUAAAGUCUGUUUCUUCCUGAGAUAAUGAUUCGUUUUUUGCAAAAAGGACCCCGGCACCACCACCACAGCCCCGCCUUAUCCACUGCCGGCAUUCACAAACGGGCAGCGGCGCGCUUGCCGCGGCGUCCGCUCCGCCCGAGCCCUGUAAUUGGGCGAGGCGUCGCGGCGGCGUUCCUGCACGCCUUGUCGGCCUUGGAGCUAGCCUUGGCGGGGGCGGGCCGAGGCGUCGCGGCGGAGGACGAUAAGCAGACGAGCACGCGCCGCCGGCGCGUUUGCCGUGGGCGUCCGCUACGCCCGAGCCCAGGAGUGGGGCGAGGGGUCGCGCCGGCGUUCCUACGCGCCUUGUCGCCCUUGAAGCUGGCCUUGGCGGACCGAGGCGUCGCGGCGGAGGACGACAAGGCGGCCGACGUGCUCUGUUGGGGCCACGCGUCGCGGCGCUCCGGCUCCAGCAGAUGACGGCAGAGAGCCAGGUGUGGCUUUGUGUCGCCAACAGCCACGAGGUCAUCGGCACCGGCCACCGUGCCAGGCUGGACCAGCUGCUGCAGCCCCCCUGCGCCGUCGCCGUCGCCGUGGCAGAAGAAGCGCGAGUUCCCCCUCGCUAUCGGAGGCUGGGUGUCGUUCUCCAGUGCAGAUUGUCUAAUUGAGUUUCUGAAAGCGUCGUCCACGUCUGCACUUCAUGGGUCCAUACACUGGGAACUCACGCCUGAGAACUUCCUGCUCACCAGAUUGGUUUCAGUUUCUCUGUCUCCAUCGAAGAAGGUCAGCCCUUUGCCUCGAACAGUUUCAUGAUUACACUCAUGACAUGAUUUACAGUACAGUAGUCUCAUGCGUUGAGCUCAUAAUACUGCAGUACGGACAUACAUUUUCCAAGCAUAAAUUAAUGCAGAAGUUAUUGCAACAGGAGGGCCUCUAAUUGUAAUUCAUAUACACAUUUCAGCUCAAUAACCAUAUAACGCAUCUUGCCCGAGCUUGAUACUUCCGACUAUCUCCAUGUCUUUCGGGUCAAAGUUAAGUUAGCUCUAUAUCCGAGCAGGCAUUUUAUUCUUUGGGAGCAAGCAAGAAUCAAUAUAUUCUCUCGCAAUAUUAUUUCCUCCUUCCCCUUGUCUUCCUAAUCCCCUGCAGAUGGCAUGACUAGCUAGGUUCAUAACAGUUGUUGUAACUAUCCGUCCGGUCAUGAAUCAACAAUUACAAUUGUUUUGACUUCUACGAUCAGUUCAGCCGCCUAUGUUGUACUGCCGCUGCCAUUUAAAGAUUUAAGUUGUCAGGUGGAUAUAGGUUCCAUUAGAUUGAAAGUAAUGAAAUUUUAUUUGCCAACCUGGCUGCACUUUGUGAUGCUUUAUUUAUGUAUAUACUUAAAGUUCAAAUGUGAUGUAUGCUUUACUCCUUAUUUGAUACUUGCAUUUGUCGCAAGCACCUUGCUGUUCUGAGUAAUGGUUGAUAUCUUACAUUUAGCCGAGAAGCUGAAAACUUACGAGAUGGAAAACCUUCUAGAUAUACCUAAAAAGACCUUGAAGAUAUCUUCUACUAGACUGGACGAGCUGAUUGACUGGCGAUGGGGAUGCAGCAGUGACCUGCAAUUCUUUCUGCUGUGGAUGGUUCAUUUUGAAAUCUUUUUUAUAUCUGACAAGACACAAGAAAACAACAUAUCUAUCCUGUUAUAUUUACCACUAUCAUCUACAGUGAGUGCUAAGUUGCCCAUAAAUUUUAGUUGACUUCUGUUCAGAGUGAUCUGAAAAAUAGAUAGCAUAAAAGAUUAGUGGGUAUUACAUUUAGAUUAGUUACAUUUGGGCAAAUAAAUGAGUAGAAGUCAAUUUUGUUUGCUUGAUGUUUCACUUCUUUGAUCUCUUCAUCAUUCUCAUUUUGUUUCAUUGCUUACCAUUUGUUCGAAAAAAUUUCUAGCAGUGGCAAGCAUGGUUAGGGCGAGCAACGAGGGUUCCUGUAGUGCAUAACCAUUUCAAGUCGCCCAAGUUCUAAAGAGAGAUCAGAAGUGCCAGCUACUGAAGCAAAAAAAAGGACCUGAUACACAUUGUAAUCAUGGACUGCUGAUAUACCUGAUGCAUUUCUUCAUGAUGGUCGAUUUCCUUUCACCGGAUCUUACAUGUUUAAUUAUGUGUGCUCGGAACCAAAAACUGAUUGAGAUCUUCAGUUCUUACUUGCAGAUGUUCUGUUAUUCAGAGUAAUUCAGUUUCCAGUCUCUGUUUAUUAAUCAAAUUAUGGGUUAUUUUCAACCAUAUAGGCUUUUAUUAUAUGCUCAGUUAUGCUUCCAUGGGUUUUGCAUAUGUAUUAACAAAACAACCAGACUGCUAUUCUGUAUAUACUUGGAUCAAAGGGUGUACAAUUAAUUUAAUCUUACGAAAGGAAUGAGUAGGCAGCUAGCAGAAUGGGAGGACAAUCAUGACAAGCGAAGGAACACAUAAAUAGUAAUCCCACAAUUUUUACAACUGCAUUCCACUUUAAUUUGGUAUGGACAUGCAUUUUUAUCCUUGGAGUACUUUGGAUUUUAAGUGGGAAUCAUUGGUUCUUUUCUUCUUAAUAUUUUACUUCUUAUAAUUACAAAUACCAAUUUUAGAGAAUUGAGCUCGUACUUAAAAUUCAAUUGAGUAUGAAGCCACUGCCCAUUGUGUGAAAGAAACAAUUAUAACAUUGUACUCUAACAAAUCACACAUAUAGAGAAAUGUUAUUUUCGAGUCUCCUUAACCUACUGAUCUUUUUUUAGAUAUAUGAAACUUGCAUUUGUUUUCUUAAUUCUUUUGCAAUGCAGGUGAUAUUCCUUGGUUGCAGCUGACGCUAAAAAAAAUUACUCCUGAAGCACUAGAAGUGCCCUCUCUAUGGUGCAUCACUCACUGGAUCCAGAUGGGCAACAUUCCGCUUCAAGAUUAAAGAGUACAGUUUUUGCAUGCUAUCAUUGCUUAUCCAAGAGUAAUCUACCAUGUGCCUAAUUGUUAUGACCGGCCAGGUCUAUGGCCGCCGCAGGCCUAACAGGCAGGCGUAGGCCAGCAAGUUACCUUAGUUUUAUUCAGAUUAGGCAAGUUAUCUCAGGAUUGAUUCUUCUACAAGUUAUCUAGGAUAUAAAUAUAGAUUGUAAGACUCUUUUGGAUGGAAGCAAUAAAGACUAUUAUUAUCUUUUGUUGCCCGGCUCCUAGAGGAGCCGGAAACCCUAGCCGCCGCAACCUAGCCGCCACCGCCCUCAACCCUAGCCGCGACGGCGCCCUGCCGCCGGCACGCCCGCUCCUCGCCGCGCCCACUUCCUCUUUGCCCCUACAACCUACGCAGUAGAGCCGGUAGGAACCCUAGUCCUACCAAUUUGGUAUUCAGAGACCACGUUGUGAUCAUGUCGAUGCCGCCAUCACCGCCGCCGCUGCCCGUCGGCACCACCGCGCCCAUGACGACGGCGCCAAGCAUCACCGCGCCGACCACAUCCGUCGGGACCUCGCUGGCGUGUCCCGUCUCCUCCUCGGCACCACCUGCACCGGCGUCUCCGGGCGCAUCUCCACCACCACCGCUGGCCGCCUUGUCUCCGGAGCAACUCGCCGCCACGCUACAUCACCUCGUCACCGUCGUCCACUGGCUUCAGCUCCACCAGCAAUAUAGGGCCGGGGCCUAUGCUCAACCACCAUCGGGCCCGAUCGCCGCCCCUGGUCUUCUCCUACAGCAGCAGCCGCAGUACGGGGGCGGGGCGAGCCCCUUCGCGCCACCACCAGGACCGUACCAGGGCGCGGCCGCGUACGGCGGGCCGCUGUUCGGGCCGAUCCAGGCGAGAUUGGCAUCCGGGCCAGCGCCGGCCGCGACGCCCCUCUGGCCUUUGCCGCCGGCCACCUCGGCCGCCUCCUAGCUGCAGCAGCUGCCGCCCACCGUCUGGCCGGUUCAGCAGAUGCCGUUCCCCGCAUGGCCGGCCCAGCAGCCGCCGCCGACGGCGUCCCAGGGCCUGCGUCCACCGCCAUUCUCUGCGCCCUCAUCAGCCGGGACCACCUCGGGCGCGGCCUCGACUAUCGGGUUACCGAUCCAUCAGGUCCAGUUUCCCCCGUCCCCGUCCCCCCUGCCAGCAUGGGCGGCGGGGUCUUCGCCUUCACCGGUCUACUCCACGACCCCGGUUGAGCCGACUCCGUUUUCGCAGUUCGGCGGGCCAUCCGGCCCCGCCGGCCAGUACCCGGACUACUCCGAUCAGGCACCUCCGGCUUCACUCUUCCGAGCCCCCGCGCCUGCUCAGCACGGCGGGCCGCAGGAGACACCGCCGCUGUUCACCAAACUCGACUUCGCCACCUAUGAGGGCACGGAUGACCCCCUCAACUGGCUCAACCAGUGCGAACAGUUCUUUCGAGGGCAGCGGACACUCGCUUCAGAUCGUACCUGGCUCGCGUCCUAUCAUCUUCGAGGCGCAGCACAGACCUGGUACUACGCCCUCGAGCAGGACGAGGGCGGCAUGCCACCGUGGGAGCGCUUCCAGGAGCUCUGUCUUCUCCGUUUUGGGCCUCCUAUCCGCGGGAGCCGACUGGCGGCCCUCUGCCGUUUACCAUUCACAUCUACGGUGCAGGACUACGCCGAUCGCUUCCAGGCCCUGGCAUGCCACGCGCCGGGCGUCUCCGCGACCCAGCGCGCCGAGCUCUUUGUGGGCGGUCUGCCGGACCAUAUCCGCGUGGACGUCGAGCUCCGGGAUCCCCCCGAUCUCCAGACGGCCAUGUACUACGCCCGGGCCUUCAAGCAGCGGGCCCAGGCACUGCAGCCGCCACUCGGACGGAGUGGCCGCCAGCCCAGUCGGCCAGCACCGACUUCCUCAGCCCCGGGUCGGCCUCUCCCAUCCGCGACGGCCACAUCCCCGGCUGCCACACGGCCCUUCCGUCGGCUGUCACCGGCCGAGCAGCAGGAGCGUCGCAGUCAGGGUCUCUGCUUCAACUGCGAUGAGCCCUAUACGCCGACCCAUGUCUGCCCCCGCCUCUUUUAUUUAGAGACGGUCGACUACACCGAGGAGAACGACUCGCCCGAUCCGUUACAUCCGCCUGCGGCGCCCGAGGACGCGGCCGCGGAUUCCGCAGCGACGGCGUGCAUCGUCUCCCUUCAUGCCCUGGCCGGCAUCCGGGGCGAGCAGACCAUGCUGCUGCCGGUGACGAUCCAUGGUGAGCGCCUGGUGGCCCUGCUAGAUACGGGCUCCACACACAACUUUCUGUCCGAAUCGACCAUGCGUCGGCUAGCCCUCCCGACGACGGGCGGGGAGCGCCUGCGGAUCACAGUGGCGAACAGUGAUCGCCUCCGGUGCCAUGGGCUAGCCCGCGACGUUCCCAUCUCCAUCAGCGACGAACACUUUUCCAUCACUUGUGCAGGGAUCGAUCUCGGCUGCUUCGACUUCAUCCUCGGGGUGGACUUUCUCCGGACCCUCGGCCCCAUCCUAUGGGAUUUCGACGCACUCAUGAUGACAUUCUGGCGGCAGGGACGCCGCAUCCGGUGGGAGGGCAUUGGGGGCGCCGCGGCUGCCGUGCCACAUCUCCAGCUUGCUGCCGCGUCCUUGGAGGUUGAGCACCCCCUACUGGAUUCUCUUCUAGAGCAGCACAACGACCUCUUCGACGCUCCGCGGGGUCUUCCGCCUGCCCGGGUGUACGACCAUCAUAUUCACCUCGUACCAGGCUCCACUCCGGUGGCGGUACGGCCCUACCGCUACCCCCAGCUGCAGAAGGAUGAGUUGGAGCGCCAGUGUGCCCUGAUGCUCGCCGCAGGCAUCAUCCGGAUCUCCACGUCACCCUUCACGGCGCCGGUGCUUCUCGUCCGUAAGUCCGACGGCACAUGCCGCUUCUGCAUCGACUACCGCGCCCUCAACGCACUCACGCUCAAGGACAAGUUCCCUAUACCGGUGGUCGACGAGCUCUUGGAUGAGAUCCAUGGGGCACGCUUCUUCACCAAGCUCGAUCUUCGGUCGGGCUAUCAUCAGGUGCGCAUGCAUCCGGACGACAUCGCCAAGACGGCGUUUCGCACCCACCAUGGCCACUUCGAGUUCUUGGUGAUGCCUUUCGGCCUCGCCAACGCCCCGGCGACUUUCCAAGCCCUGAUGAACGACGUCCUUCGACCCUACUUACGGCGGUUUGUGCUUGUUUUCUUUGAUGACAUUCUUAUCUACAGCGCCACCUGGGCCAAACAUCUCCAGCACGUCGCCAUCGUCUUCAACGAGUUUCGGGCGCACCACCUCCACCUUAAGCGCUCAAAGUGCUCGUUCGGGACACCUACCGUCGCCUACCUCGGCCAUGUCAUCUCGGCCGACGGAGUGGCUAUGGACGCCGAUAAGGUGGCGGCCGUCUCCGCCUGGCCGACGCCUUACUCACCGCGGGCUCUCCGCGGGUUCCUCGGACUCGCUGGCUACUACUGGAAAUUUAUCCGGGAGUUCGGACUCAUCGCGGCGCCCCUCGCGUGGUUGCUUCGCCGCGAUGCCUUCGCCUGGGACGCUGAGGCGACGACGGCAUUCGAGGCCCUCAAGGGGGACCUCACGACGGGCCCCGUCCUCCAGAUGCCCGACUUCGACCGUCCGUUCGUGGUGGACUGUGACGCCUCGGGCGCCGGGUUCGGCGCAUUACUUCAUCAGGGCGAUGGGCCCCUCGCCUUCUUCAGCCGGCCUUUCGCUCCGCGCCAUCUUAAGUUGGCCGCUUACGAGCGGGAGCUCAUUGGCCUCGUCCAGGCCGUGCGUCAUUGGCGGCCAUACUUGUGGGGGCGGACCUUCCACAUUCGCACGGACCACUACAGCCUGAAGUUCUUGCUGGAUCAACGGCUGUCGACCGUACCGCAGCACCAGUGGAUCAGCAAGCUCUUCGGCUUCGACUUCUUCGUCGAGUAUCGGUCGGGCCGUCUUAACACCUUGGCCGACGCGCUAUCCCGUCGCGAUUCCGACCUCGCGCCAACCGCCGACGCGUCCGCCGGGACGGCCCUGUGCAUCCGCUUCAGGCCAUCGUUCGGUCUCUUCACCGACAUUCGACGCGCCACUGCGACGGCCGAUGACGCCGCACUUCUUCAGCAGCAGCUUGCGGUCAGCGACUUGGAGGAGCCCUGGCGCUUCUCUGACGGACUGCUCCUGCAUGGACACCGGAUCUUUGUUCCGGCGCAUGAUGAUCUCCGUCACCAGGUGUUGCAGCUCGCUCACUCGGCGGGCCAUGAGGGUGUGCAGAAAACCCUCCAUCGUCUUCGCGCCGACUUCUACAUCCUUGGCGAUCGUGCCCUGGUCCGCGACUGGGUUCGGUCUUGUCAGACUUGCCAGCGCAACAAGACAGAAACCCUGAGACCGGCGGGGCUCCUUCAGCCCUUGGAGGUGCCGUCUCAGGUUUGGGCGGAUAUCUCCUUGGACUUCAUCGAGGGCCUUCCCAAGGUAGGGGGCAAGUCAGUCAUCCUCACGGUGGUCGAUCGCUUCUCUAAGUAUGCCCACUUCAUCGCGUUGGGCCAUCCGUACACAGCGGCAUCCGUGGCCCGGGCUUUCUUCAACGGCAUAGUCUGUCUACACGGGUUCCCGAUGUCGAUCGUCAGUGAUUGGGACCCAAUCUUCACGGGCCAUGUCUGGCGCGACCUCUUCAGGAUGGCGGGUGUCCAGCUCCGCCUGAGUAUGGCGUUCCAUCCUCAGAAUAACGGUCAGUCUGAGGUGGUUAACAAGGUCAUUGCCAUGUAUUUGCGUUGUGUGACAGGUGAUCGACCUCGCGCUUGGGUGGACUGGCUAUCUUGGGCGGAGUACUGCUACAACACUUAUUAUCACUCCACCCUGCGCGCGACGCCAUUUGAGGUGGUCUAUGGUCGACCACCCCCGCCUAUACUUCCGGUCGACCCGGAGACGGCUCGGACAGCAGUAGCGGGUGACCUUAUCUGCACCCGUGAUGAGAUGCUGGCUGAGGUCCGUCAGCGUCUCCUUCAGGCCCAGCAGACGGCCAAGCACUACUACGACGAUCAUCAUCGCGAGGCGGAGUUCGCAGUGGGUGACUGGGUGUGGCUGCGUCUUCUCCACCGCUCUACGCAGUCACAGGACCCGCAGGCAAAGCGCAAGCUUGGCCCUCGCUACGCCGGGCCCUUCCCUAUCAUGGAGCGCAUUGGGAAGGUGGCCUAUCGUCUUCAGCUUCCAGCCCGCGCCCGCAUCCACGACGUGUUCCAUGUGGGGCUGCUCAAACCUUUCCGUGGCGAGCCACCGGCGGCUCCUCCGACGCUUCCUCCAACCGCCGAUGGUCGCAUUCUUCCAGAGCCAGCAAAGGUGUUGCAGGCUCAGCUCCGUCGUGGCGUCUGGUUCAUCCUAAUUCAGUGGGCGGGCCUUCCGGAGGAAGAGGCGACUUGGGAGCAGCGUGAGGAUUUCCGUCAAAACUAUCCAGACUUUCAGCUCGAGGACGAGCUGUUUGCGCAGGCGGGGAGAGAUGUUAUGACCGGCCAGGUCUAUGGCCGCCGCAGGCCCAACAGGCAAGCUUAGGCCCGCAAGUUACCUUAGUUUUAUUCAGAUUAGGCAAGUUAUCUCAGGAUUGAUUCUUCUACAAGUUAUCUAGGAUAUAAAUAUAGAUUGUAAGACUCUUUUGGAUGGAAGCAAUAAAGACUAUUAUUAUCUUUUGUUGCCCAGCUCCUAGAGGAGCCGGAAACCCUAGCCGCCGCAACCUAGCUGCCACCGCCCUCAACCCAAGCCGCGACGGCGCCCUGCCGCCGGCGCGCCCGCUCCUCGCCGCGCCCACUUCCUCUUUGCCCCUACAACCUACGCAGUAGAGCCGGUAGGAACCCUAGUCCUACCACUAAUAUAUAUACAUGAUUGUUGCACCAUCACAAGAUUUCCAUUAUAUACAUGGGCAUAACUUUCUUUUACUGUGAAUUAAUCGACACGAUGCUUGUGUUUUAAGGAAUGGCAAUGCUAAAUUCUACAGUGGUACACUCUACUCUGUCGAAUGUUUACAAACACCACAAAGCUAGAGAUCUAUUGUGGAAACCUUUCUUUCUUUUGUUUGUUAUAACUUCUUAGUGUAAAAAUAAAUAUGGCUUGUCCAUUACGAAACAAAUAUGUAAGAUUUAUUACUUUUCAAAGUUGAAUUGUUCCUGACAAUUACACAUGAGAGUGCAUAUAAUUCAGUUGUGCUGACUUGCUGUUUCUAAAAUGAUAAGCUGGAGCUGGAGUUACAUAUGAGAGUACAGAUAAUUAAGUUGUGCUCCUGACUUGAUUAACAAAAGCUGCAGAAGAAAGGGACAAAAUACCAAAAAGCUGAAAAUUUGAAGAAAGGUGGAAGUAGGGAACUACCCAACUUGAUUCAAGAUUACGAAGGGAAAAAGGGCAUUGAUUGAGCAGGAGAAAACAAUAAUGGGCCGAGGCAAGGAUAUAGUGCUCAGUUAGUAAAGAGAUAUGUAGGAAGUGGAGCAGCGGGAUGCAAAUGGAAUUUUUGUGACUCACUGAAGGUGAGCAAAACUUCAGAAAAGAAAUUGCAACAGAAGUAGAGCCUCAUCACCAAGAGAACAUAGGGAUUUUAAGUUUUUUGUAGCCUGCACCGGAGACUGUAGAGUUAAGUUUCUACAUCUCAGUGUACAAUUUAACUAUAUCAG
RNAcentral lists this long non-coding RNA (12583 nucleotides) under Triticum aestivum (bread wheat). RNAcentral's name for it is "long non-coding RNA (TAES_LNC001016)". The record is from RNAcentral. Lineage: Eukaryota; Viridiplantae; Streptophyta; Magnoliopsida; Poales; Poaceae.